Non-coding RNA from Triticum urartu, 134 nucleotides. Lineage: Eukaryota; Viridiplantae; Streptophyta; Magnoliopsida; Poales; Poaceae. The record is from Rfam.
AUAAUACUCCCUCCGUCCGAAAAUACUUGUCAUUAAAAUGGACAAAAAGGAAUGUAUUUAAAACUAAAUGCAUCUAGAUACAUCCCGUUUUAUUCAUUUUGAUGACAAGUAUUUUCGGACGAAGAGAGUAUGAA